UACGUAGGGACCGAGCGUUGUCCGGAUUCAUUGGGCGUAAAGAGCUCGUAGGGCGGCUGCUCAAGUCGAAUGUGAAAACUCGGGGCUCAACCCCGAGCCUGCUUUCGAUACGGGCGGACUAGAGGUAGGUAGGGGAGAACGGAAUUCCUGGUGUAGCGGUGGAAUGCGCAGAUAUCAGGAAGAACACCAAUGGCGAAAGCAGCUCUCUGGGACGGUACUGACGCUGAGACGCGAAAGCGUGGGGAGCGAACGGG
Molecule: ribosomal RNA, 254 nt
Filed under: uncultured bacterium
Lineage: Bacteria
Description: partial 16S ribosomal RNA
Rfam family: Bacterial small subunit ribosomal RNA
Source: RNAcentral